AAGAUCUCGUACAGCAGCACUACUUGUAUUGUUCUCCACUUGCUCCAUCGCUUUGCUGGUAUUCCCUCAUUCGUAAGUCGCUUCGGAUAAAAGCGUCCGCUGAAUGAAUAGAUGUGAAUGUAAUGUAAUAUAAUUACGGAAACCUGCAUAACACUACUCAUUUAAUUCAUAAUGCUGAAUAUUUAUUCAUACGGGUGGAGCGGGUCAUUUGGCAUUAUGCCUUUCUUUUUAAUUGUACUCAUAUGUAUGCAUUGUUUUCAGUGAAUACCUCGUGCUUCAACGUGACAGUAUUUAUUAGCCUGAUGCAAAUGGAUCUCACACACACACACACACACACACACACACACACACACGUAUGCGUACACUUUUCAAACACACACCAACAGGAACACAAACCUAUGGGUAAAUCAGUAUGGCUGUAAAAUAUAAGUUGUUCGUUCAUGUUAUGCAUCUUAUGCAUUCGUAGAAUGCGGACGGGCGCGUUGUAGGCUGACGGGCAUGUCGAAAUGGUUCGUAGAAUGCGAACGGGCGCGUUGUAGGCUGACGGGCAUGUCCAAAUCGUUCGUAGAAUGCGGACGGGCGCGUUGUAGGCUGACGGGCAUGUCCAAAUGGUUCGUAGAAUGCGGACGGGCGCGUUGUAGGCUGACGGGCAUGUCCAAAUGGUUCGUAGAAUGCGGACGGGCGCGUUGUAGGCUGACGCGCAUGUCGAAAUGGGUCGUAGAAUGCGGACGGGUGCGUUGUAGGCUGACGGGCAUGUCGAAAUGGUUCGUAGAUUGCGGACGGGCGCGUUGUAGGCUGACGGGCAUGUCCAAAUGGUUCGUAGAAUGCGAACGGGUGUGUUGUCGGCUGACGGGCAUGUCCAAAUCGUUCGUUGAAUGCGGACGGGCGCGUUGUAGGCUGACGGGCAUGUCCAAAUGGUUCGUAGAAUGCGGACGGGCGCGUUGUAGGCUGACGGGCAUGUCCAAAUCGUUCGUAGAAUGCGGACGGGUGUGUUGUAGGCUGACGGGCAUGUCCAAAUCGUUCGUAGAAUGCGGACGGGUGUGUUGUCGGCUGACGGGCAUGUCCAAAUGGUUCGUAGAAUGCGAUCGGGUGCGUUGUAGGCUGACGGGCAUGUCCAAAUGGUUCGUAGAAUGCGAUCGGGUGCGUUGUAGGCUGACGGGCAUGUCCAAAUGGUUCGUAGAAUGCGAUCGGGUGCGUUGUAGGCUGACGGGCAUGUCCAAAUCGUUCGUAGAAUGCGGAUGGGCGCGUUGUAGGCUGACGGGCAUGUCCAAAUCGUUCGUAGAAUGCGAACGGGUGCGUUGUAGGCUGAUGGGCAUGUCCAAACGGUUCGAAGAAUGCGAACGGGUGUGUGAUUGUGCCCUGCAACGGGUUGACGCAAUGUCCAGGGUGUCCCUUGUCUUGUGCCCCGAGUCCCAUUGAAGAGGCUCCAGGCUCCCUGCGACCCUGUGUAGGAUAACCUGUACUGAAGAUAGAUGGAUCAAGGGGAUGAACUGAGAGCACCCUCAGGAAAACACCAAUAAGAGCAGCACACCACAUGCAGAGAUGGGGAAUUCAUGACAGGAAACAGGAUCCCGGUACUGAUGCACACCAUCGUAUCAGUAUUGGUAUCAGUUUAGAGCACAUUUGCUCAUUUCCCGUUACCCUUUGAAUUGAAAUCAAGUGCUUUGUGACGCCCAUUUUGUCAUUUUGCCUCUCGUACUUUAACGCUUUAAUCCACCGAGUCACUUCUGUGUAUUUCAGUAAUUAAUGUAAAGGUCGAUAAUAAAUCAGAGUUCCGUGUAGAGCUUGUUGAAUACGAGGAAGCUGUGAAUGGGAGUUCAUCAUCGGCUGAUAAAGUGAAAUGCUUGUGCACCGAGGGAAAGUAUUGAACACGUCAACGUUUUUUUUUUUUUCCAGUAAAUACAUUUCCAAUGAGGUUAUUCACAUGAAAAUUUCACCAGACUUCAGUAUUAACUCCAGAAAUCCAGAAAUAUAAAGAAUUCACAACAUUAAAGUCCAUAAAUGAAGUUGUGUGUAAUAAAGUGGAAUGACACAGAGGAAAGAAGUAUCGAACACGCUAACUGAAAUGUAUUUAAUACUCAGUGGAGAAGGCUUUGUUUGUAAUGACGGCUUCAAGACGCUUCCUGUAUGAGGAAAUUAAUCGUCCGCGGUAUUCGGGUGUGAUUUUUG
Molecule: long non-coding RNA, 2169 nt
Organism: Ictalurus punctatus (channel catfish)
Lineage: Eukaryota; Metazoa; Chordata; Actinopteri; Siluriformes; Ictaluridae
Source: Ensembl